AUCACUUCUCGGCCUUUUGGCUAAGAUCAUGUGUAGUAUCUGUUCUUAUCAGUUUAAUAUCUGAUAUCGUCCCUCUAUCUGAGGACAAUAUAUUAAAUGGAUUUUUGGAGCUGGGAGGUGGAAUAGGAGCUUUCUCCGUCUACUCCAUGCAUUGACCUGGUAUUGCAGUACCUCCAGGAACAGUGCACCAAAA
This 193-nucleotide small nuclear RNA is filed under the name Heterocephalus glaber (naked mole-rat). Its description in RNAcentral is "U2 spliceosomal RNA (ENSHGLG00000036211.1)". It matches the Rfam family "U2 spliceosomal RNA". From Rfam's summary of the family: U2 is a small nuclear RNA (snRNA) component of the spliceosome (involved in pre-mRNA splicing). The record is from RNAcentral. Lineage: Eukaryota; Metazoa; Chordata; Mammalia; Rodentia; Bathyergidae.